Molecule: ribosomal RNA, 446 nt
Filed under: uncultured bacterium
Lineage: Bacteria
Description: SSU rRNA
Rfam family: Bacterial small subunit ribosomal RNA
Source: RNAcentral
AGAGCGAACGCUGGCGGCAGGCCUAAUACAUGCAAGUCGAACGGAUCCUUCGGGAUUAGUGGCGGACGGGUGAGUAACACGUGGGAACGUGCCCUUUGGUUCAGAACAACUCAGGGAAACUUGAGCUAAUACUGGAUAAGCCCUUCGGGGGAAAGAUUUAUCGCCAUUGGAGCGGCCCGCGUCUGAUUAGCUAGUUGGUAGGGUAAAGGCCUACCAAGGCUUCGAUCAGUAGCUGGUCUGAGAGGAUGAUCAGCCACACUGGGACUGAGACACGGCCCAGACUCCUACGGGAGGCAGCAGUAGGGAAUCUUGCGCAAUGGGCGAAAGCCUGACGCAGCCAUGCCGCGUGAAUGAUGAAGGUCUUAGGAUUGUAAAAUUCUUUCAGCGGGGACGAUAAUGACGGUACCCGCAGAAGAAGCCCCGGCUAACUUCGCGCCAGCAGCCGC